Molecule: transfer RNA, 68 nt
Filed under: Alcelaphus buselaphus (hartebeest)
Lineage: Eukaryota; Metazoa; Chordata; Mammalia; Artiodactyla; Bovidae
Also listed under: 3 other names
Description: tRNA-Tyr
Rfam family: tRNA
About the family: Transfer RNA (tRNA) molecules are approximately 80 nucleotides in length.
Source: RNAcentral
GGUAAAAUGGCUGAGUGAAGCAUUAGACUGUAAAUCUAAGGACAGAGGUUUGAUUCCUCUUUUUACCA